This 67-nucleotide transfer RNA is filed under the name Sarcophaga dux. RNAcentral describes it as "tRNA-Phe". The record is from RNAcentral. Lineage: Eukaryota; Metazoa; Arthropoda; Insecta; Diptera; Sarcophagidae.
UAUUCAAAUAGCUUAUAAUUAGAGUAUGACACUGAAGAUGUUAGGGAGGUAAAUUUAUCUUUGAAUA